CCUACGGGGGGCAGCAGUGGGGAAUAUUGGACAAUGGGGGCAACCCUGAUCCAGCAAUGCCGCGUGAGUGAUGAAGGCCUUAGGGUUGUAAAGCUCUUUUACCUGCGAGGCGGUAGCAGGAGAAUAAGCCCCGGCUAACUUCGUGCCAGCAGCCGCGGUAAUACGAAGGGGGCUAGCGUUGUUCGGAGUUACUGGGCGUAAAGGGCGCGUAGGCGGCGCACCAAGUCAGGCGUGAAAGCCCUGGGCUCAACCCGGGAAAUGCGCUUGAGACUGGUGUGCUUGAGUACGGGAGAGGAUAGUGGAAUUCCCAGUGUAGAGGUGAAAUUCGUAGAUAUUGGGAAGAACACCAGUGGCGAAGGCGGCUAUCUGGACCGUACUGACGCUGAGGCGCGAAAGCGUGGGGAGCAAACAGGAUUAGAUACCCUUGUAGUC
This 432-nucleotide ribosomal RNA is filed under the name uncultured bacterium. RNAcentral describes it as "partial 16S ribosomal RNA". It matches the Rfam family "Bacterial small subunit ribosomal RNA", at positions 338 to 795 of the family's 1533-position model. The record is from RNAcentral.